UACGUAGGUGGCAAGCGUUGUCCGGAUUUAUUGGGCGUAAAGCGAGCGCAGGCGGUUUGAUAAGUCAGAAGUAAAAGGCUGUGGCUCAACCAUAGUACGCUUUUGAAACUGUCAAACUUGAGUGCAGAAGGGGGGAGUGGAAUUCCAUGUGUAGCGGUGAAAUGCGUAGAUAUAUGGAGGAACACCGGUGGCGAAAGCGGCUCUCUGGUCUGUAACUGACGCUGAGGCUCGAAAGCGUGGGGAGCGAACAGG
This 252-nucleotide ribosomal RNA is filed under the name uncultured bacterium. RNAcentral describes it as "partial 16S ribosomal RNA". It matches the Rfam family "Bacterial small subunit ribosomal RNA", at positions 524 to 776 of the family's 1533-position model. The record is from RNAcentral.